Molecule: microRNA precursor, 102 nt
Filed under: Marmota monax (woodchuck)
Lineage: Eukaryota; Metazoa; Chordata; Mammalia; Rodentia; Sciuridae
Source: RNAcentral
AGUGGAUAGCUGGGCCAAAUGGUAGUUUGAUUUCAAGUUUUCUGAGGAAUCUCCAUUCUGCUUUACAGAGUGAUUGCACCAAUUUGCAGUCCCACCAGCAAU